GUGGAGCUCGAUGGUACAGCAUGUGCUUGAUAUGCACAAAGCCCUAGGUUUGAUCCCUAGCAC
Molecule: transfer RNA, 63 nt
Filed under: Fukomys damarensis (Damara mole-rat)
Lineage: Eukaryota; Metazoa; Chordata; Mammalia; Rodentia; Bathyergidae
Rfam family: tRNA
About the family: Transfer RNA (tRNA) molecules are approximately 80 nucleotides in length. Their secondary structure includes four short double-helical elements and three loops (D, anti-codon, and T loops). Further hydrogen bonds mediate the characteristic L-shaped molecular structure. tRNAs have two regions of fundamental functional importance: the anti-codon, which is responsible for specific mRNA codon recognition, and the 3' end, to which the tRNAs corresponding amino acid is attached (by aminoacyl-tRNA synthetases). tRNAs cope with the degeneracy of the genetic code in two manners: having more than one tRNA (with a specific anti-codon) for a particular amino acid; and 'wobble' base-pairing, i.e. permitting non-standard base-pairing at the 3rd anti-codon position.
Source: Rfam by way of RNAcentral